This 468-nucleotide ribosomal RNA is filed under the name uncultured bacterium. Its description in RNAcentral is "partial 16S ribosomal RNA". It matches the Rfam family "Bacterial small subunit ribosomal RNA", at positions 28 to 507 of the family's 1533-position model. The record is from RNAcentral.
GACGAACGCUGGCGGCGUGCCUAACACAUGCAAGUCGAACGGAAAGGCCCUGCUUUUGUGGGGUGCUUGAGUGGCGAAGGGGUGAGUAAAACGUGAGUAACCUGUCCCUGACUUAGGGGUAUAUUCAGGAAACAGGGGAUAUUAUCGGAUAGGAUCUUUUGCUGCACGGUGGGGGAAGGUUAGAUUCGGUGGUUGGGGAUGGACUGGCGGCUUAUCCGCUUGUUGGUGGGGUAGUGACUUACAAAGCUUAUGACGGGUAGCCGGCCUGAGCGGGGGACCGGCCACAUUGCGACUGCGAUACGGCCCAGUCUCGAACGGGAGGCAACAGUGGAGAGUAUUGCACAAUGAGCGGGAGCCAGUUGUAGCAACGCCGCGUGCGGGAUGACGUCUUUCGGGUUGUGAACCGCUUUCGCCUGUGACGAGGCGUGAGUGACGGUAAUGGGUAAAGAAGCACCGGCUAACUACGUG